Molecule: long non-coding RNA, 378 nt
Filed under: Calidris pugnax (ruff)
Lineage: Eukaryota; Metazoa; Chordata; Aves; Charadriiformes; Scolopacidae
Description: lncRNA (ENSCPUG00000012333.1)
Source: RNAcentral
CAAGUCUGAAGGUUUCGUAUGCCCUUGUUUGCAAUGGCAUAUAUUGCACAUAUAAUGGCAUAACAUUGCAGAUAUUUACACAGAAUCACAGGUGAAUAAUUCUCUCUCCCUUUUAGGGCCCAUCAGCUUUGUGGGCUGGGUUUAGCACGUUGGUGCAGAAGUCUGAGAAAGGGGCGAAUACAGCACAGGGACCCUUGCAGACGUGCCCGAGGCUCACUGAUGAAACACAGCAAAUGAAGCAUUUCCUGAAGAGGCAGGCUAUGAUACAAUUAACUAAUUAGACUCUGAUUCCUCCUACUUGUUGGAAGACACCAAUGAAACACAAUUUACCACCUGUAAAUAUGUAAGUAAAUAUCUAUUUUUAUUUGCUCUAGAAGG